GAUUCCGUGGCCUAAUGGAUAAGGCGUCUCACUCUGAAUCAGAAGAUUGCGGGUUCGAGUCCCGUCGGGGUCG
This 73-nucleotide transfer RNA is filed under the name Saccoglossus kowalevskii. RNAcentral's name for it is "tRNA-Gln". It matches the Rfam family "tRNA". From Rfam's summary of the family: Transfer RNA (tRNA) molecules are approximately 80 nucleotides in length. Their secondary structure includes four short double-helical elements and three loops (D, anti-codon, and T loops). Lineage: Eukaryota; Metazoa; Hemichordata; Enteropneusta; Harrimaniidae. The record is from RNAcentral.